This 433-nucleotide ribosomal RNA is filed under the name uncultured bacterium. RNAcentral describes it as "partial 16S ribosomal RNA". It matches the Rfam family "Bacterial small subunit ribosomal RNA", at positions 29 to 507 of the family's 1533-position model. The record is from RNAcentral.
AACGAACGCUGGCGGCAUGCCUAACACAUGCAAGUCGAACGAAGCCUUCGGGCUUAGUGGCGCACGGGUGCGUAACGCGUGGGAAUCUGCCCCUUGCUUCGGAAUAACAGUUAGAAAUGACUGCUAAUACCGGAUGAAGUCUUCGGACCAAAGAUUUAUCGGCAAGGGAUGAGCCCGCGUAGGAUUAGGUAGUUGGUGGGGUAAUGGCCUACCAAGCCGACGAUCCUUAGCUGGUCUGAGAGGAUGAUCAGCCACACUGGGACUGAGACACGGCCCAGACUCCUACGGAAGGCAGCAGUGGAGAAUAUUGGACAAUGGACUCAAGUCUGAGCCAGCAAUGCCGCUUGAGUGAUGAAGGCCUUAGAGUUGUAAAGCGCUAUUACCAAGGAUGAUAAUGACAGUACCUAGAGAAUAAGCCCCGGCUAACUCCGUG